This 754-nucleotide long non-coding RNA is filed under the name Heterocephalus glaber (naked mole-rat). RNAcentral's name for it is "lncRNA (ENSHGLG00100051987.1)". Lineage: Eukaryota; Metazoa; Chordata; Mammalia; Rodentia; Bathyergidae. The record is from RNAcentral.
AAUCUAUAUAACUUGAAAGCAACUUAUCCAAUCACGAACACACUCACAAAACAAAUCCAACUAGUUUUUAUUCUUUUUUUAUUUCCCGCCAGUCAGCUGAAAAAAAUAAAAGAAUCUCUAGUUCAGUUUUCCACAUAAUUAAAACAAGAAGAAACUCUCAAGCCGCCUUAACUUACACAGCGGGCCCCAUGCCUGGCGCUGGGAGGAAUGGCGAGGCUGUCCUGUCCCUAGGGCAGAGGGCUUGCGGGGCUGAGCACCUGAGCACAAGUACUUCGUGGUCAAGAGUGUUCCACAUUGCUGACAUUCAGCUCAGCCUCAGAAGCACCCUUGACAACUACCGAUGGCCACAGCCAAAUGGUUACCUGUAAAGUGGCCACUGCACCGUUUUCAGACAUGUAUUUUGUCACAGUGACAGAAAGCUGAGCAUCACAAACACAAGGAAGAAGGUCAUGGUAAAUGCAAGCAGAGACUGGAGUGAAGCAGCUAUAAGCCAUGAAUGCUGGGGAGCGUUGGAGCCACCAGAAGCUAUGAAGAGCCAAGGAAGGCUUACUUCUUCCUAGAGUUUUUACCUGGAGUAUAGCCCUACUGCUACCUUGAUUUCAGACUUUUAGCCACCAAAUAAGUGAUGGAAUAAAUUUCUGCUGUUUUAAACCAUUUAGUUUGUGGGAAUUUGUCAUAGCAGCUCCAGGAAAUGAAUAUAUGCAAAACCACCCAUUGAUUACCUAUUGUAUUUUAGGAUUAAUAAACAAGGCUG